This 252-nucleotide ribosomal RNA is filed under the name uncultured bacterium. Its description in RNAcentral is "partial 16S ribosomal RNA". It matches the Rfam family "Bacterial small subunit ribosomal RNA", at positions 524 to 776 of the family's 1533-position model. The record is from RNAcentral.
UACGUAGGUGGCGAGCGUUGUCCGGAUUACUGGGCGUAAAGAGCGCGCAGGCGGUCGUCCAAGUCGCGUGUGAAAGCCCCCGGCUCAACUGGGGAGGGUCACGCGAUACUGAUCGACUCGAAGGCAGGAGAGGGAAGCGGAAUUCCCGGUGUAGUGGUGAAAUGCGUAGAUAUCGGGAGGAACACCAGUGGCGAAGGCGGCUUCCUGGCCUGUUCUUGACGCUGAGGCGCGAAAGCUAGGGUAGCAAACGGG